Molecule: ribosomal RNA, 424 nt
Filed under: uncultured prokaryote
Description: bacterial SSU rRNA
Rfam family: Bacterial small subunit ribosomal RNA
Source: RNAcentral
UGGGGAAUAUUGGACAAUGGGGGCAACCCUGAUCCAGCCAUGCCGCGUGCGUGAAGAAGGCCUUAGGGUUGUAAAGCGCUUUCAGCGGGGAAGAUAAUGACGGUACCCGCAGAAGAAGCCCCGGCUAACUCCGUGCCAGCAGCCGCGGUAAGACGGAGGGGGCUAGCGUUGUUCGGAAUUACUGGGCGUAAAGCGCGCGUAGGCGGUUUGCCAAGUUGAGGGUGAAAUCCCGGGGCUCAACCUCGGAACUGCCUUUAAAACUGAUACUCUAGAGUCCGGAAGAGGGUCGCGGAAUUCCCAGUGUAGAGGUGAAAUUCGUAGAUAUUGGGAAGAACACCGGUGGCGAAGGCGGCGACCUGGUCCGGUACUGACGCUGAGGCGCGAAAGCGUGGGGAGCAAACAGGAUUAGAUACCCGCGUAGUCC